Cyprinus carpio (common carp) is the source of this 1293-nucleotide long non-coding RNA. The record is from Ensembl. NCBI's taxonomy places the organism in Eukaryota, Metazoa, Chordata, Actinopteri, Cypriniformes, Cyprinidae.
AUGUCUGAGAAGGAGAAGGAGAAUGAUGGAGAUUCAACCUUAUCAGUCACUGAACCUCCAGUGUCUCAACUCAGUCAGAAGCACAUGUUCUGGUUCCCUUCAGAGGCCUUCCAGGAAGAGGAGGAGCAGCCGGGUAUCACCACUGAUUUCUCCUCUGUUAAAAACCCCAAUGAAGAUGAGAGUCACAUGACAGUCAAAACAACCAACAGCCAGUCUGGUCCUGACAUUAUCGCAGAGGAAAGUGACUAUACGACAGAUCCUCCCACCGAUGAACCUACCAGUCCCAGUGCUGGCGGCUCCUGGCUUGAAGGAUACCCUGUUACUCAGGAUGAAGAUAAAGCUGGAAGUGAGUCCACAGGGGAGGCAGGGCCAGAACAAGAUACGGAGUCAGAAACCAAGACCUUGACUGGCCACUCGGAAGUUGAGGUGUUUGAGGAUGUAACCAAAAACUCUGUGGAAGAAGAGACUGGAGGUUUGAUUGACAACCCUGAGGAGGAUGAAGAUGAAGAAAUAAAAAAUCCUGAGGACACAAUCCACAUGAAAGGAGACGAGGAGGAGCUCGGUAAAGGGACAACCAGACUUGAAAAGGAAGAGUCUGUUGUAACACCUUAUGAGGAAACAACUGAAGGACUUUCAGAAGAUGAAAUGGUGAAAGAAACGUACACAUCAGAGGAAACAGACUCUGAUGGAUCCAAAACAUUGGGGUUUGAUGGUGUUACUGACAGUCCAAAUGGUGUGGAGGUGAAGCCCAUCACCUUCAUUACUCAGAUCACACCCAGUCUAGUUGAUAUUGCUGUACACAAGCGGCCCACGGCGUACACACCGGCUUCCGCUCCUGAAAACGUGAGCACCAGUCAAGGCGGCUUGGGCCCUGAGAACACAUCCACAGCUUCUGGGAUGGUACAUCUGGAUGGUCCACCUGAUUAUAUCACCAGCAUGCCCACACCCGUCAUCAAGGAUCCAUGGGAAACCUUCGAUGACCACUUCCUGGAGCACAUACCUGGUCACGUCCCAACUGAAAACCCUGAAAAUCAGAGCGUGAUGGAAAGAGGUGUAGAUCACAGCCUCGAUCAACAGGAGCGGGCUGGAGAGGGUGCAUGUGCAGAAGACCCCUGUCAUGGUUCAGGCCGUGGGCCCAUGAUCGCGGCCAUUAUCGUUGCCAUCGUAGCAGCGGUGGUGGGUGUGGUCUUGGGGGUGUGGUGUUAUAAAAAGAGGCAACAAAAGAGCUCUCACUAUCAGCUCAAUGGAACUAACAGGCAAACGCAGUGCAUUGAAUUACAACAGACUGUGUGA